Molecule: ribosomal RNA, 254 nt
Filed under: uncultured bacterium
Lineage: Bacteria
Description: partial 16S ribosomal RNA
Rfam family: Bacterial small subunit ribosomal RNA
Source: RNAcentral
CGGAGGGGCUAGCGUUGUUCGGAAUUACUGGGCGUAAAGCGCACGUAGGCGGACGGAGAAGUCAGAGGUGAAAUCCCAGGGCUCAACCUUGGAACUGCCUUUGAAACUUUCUGUCUUGAGGUCGAGAGAGGUGAGUGGAAUUCCGAGUGUAGAGGUGAAAUUCGUAGAUAUUCGGAGGAACACCAGUGGCGAAGGCGGCUCACUGGCUCGAUACUGACGCUGAGGUGACGAAAGCGUGGGGAGCAAACAGGAUU